This 1496-nucleotide ribosomal RNA is filed under the name Chloroflexota bacterium. RNAcentral's name for it is "bacterial SSU rRNA". It matches the Rfam family "Bacterial small subunit ribosomal RNA". The record is from RNAcentral. Lineage: Bacteria; Bacillati; Chloroflexota.
UUUCUGGCGAGUUUGAUCCUGGCUCAGGACGAACGCUGGCGGUGUGCCUUAUGCAUGCAAGUCGCACGGAUCCGAAAGGAUUAGUGGCAAACGGCUGAGUAACACGUAAGCAACCAACCCUACAGUGGGGGAUAAUCCGCCGAAAGGCGGACUAAUACCGCAUUCGAGCCUCCUCUUCAUGAGGAUGCUGAAAGCCGCAAGGCGCUGUUGGACGGGCUUGCGUCCUAUCAGGUAGUUGGCGGGGUAACGGCCCACCAAGCCGAAGACGGGUAACUGGUCUGAGAGGACGGCCAGUCAGACGGGGACUGAGACACGGCCCCGACUCCUACGGGAGGCAGCAGCAGGGGAUUUUGCGCAAUGGGCGAAAGCCUGACGCAGCGACACCGCGUGAGGGAUGAAGGCCUUCGGGUCGUAAACCUCUUUUUUAGGGGACGAGAUAGGACGGUACUCUAAGAAUAAGCCUCGGCUAACUACGUGCCAGCAGCCGCGGUAAUACGUAGGAGGCGAGCGUUGUCCGGAUUUACUGGGCGUAAAGGGCGAGUAGGUGGCUGGAUAACUCCUUGGUGAAAUCUCCCGGCUUAACUGGGAGGGUGCCGAGGAAAGUGUUCAGCUAGAGGGACGCAGAGGAGAACGGAAUUCCCGGUGUAGCGGUGACAUGCGUAGAUAUCGGGAGGAACACCAGUGGCGAAAGCGGUUCUCUAGGCGUUUCCUGACACUGAGGCGCGAAAGCGUGGGUAGCAAACCGAAUCAGAUACUCGGGUAGUCCACGCCCUAAACGAUGGAUACUGGGUAUGGGGGGUAUCGACCCCUCCCGUGCCGAAGCAUACGCGUUAAGUAUCCCGCCUGGGGAGUACGGCCGCAAGGCUAAAACUCAAAGGAAUUGACGGGGGCCCGCACAAGCAGCGGAGCGUGUGGUUUAAUUCGAUGCAAAACGAAGAACCUUACCUGGGCUUGACAUGCUAGAAGUAGGAAUCCGAAAGGUGGACGACCUGUAAAGUCAGGAGCUAGCACAGGUGCUGCAUGGCUGUCGUCAGCUCGUGCCGUGAGGUGUUGGGUUAAGUCCCGCAACGAGCGCAACCCUUGUCUCGUGUUGUUUUCUCACGAGAGACUGCUCUGUAAAAGGAGAGGAAGGUGGGGAUGACGUCAAGUCAGCAUGGCCCUUACGCCCAGGGCUACACACACGCUACAAUGGGAAGGACAGAGGGUUGCCAAACCGCAAGGUGGAGCUAAUCCCAUCAAACCUUCCCCCAGUUGGGAUUGCAGGCUGCAACCUGCCUGCAUGAACGUGGAGUUGCUAGUAACCGCAGGUCAGCUAUACUGCGGUGAAUACGUUCCCGGGCCUUGUACACACCGCCCGUCACGUCAUGGAAGCCGAUAACACCUGAAGUCGCCAGGCUAACCGCAAGGAGGCAGGCGCCGAGAGUGGGAUUGGUGACUGGGACGAAGUCGUAACAAGGUAGCUGUACCGGAAGGUGUGGCUGGAUCACCUCCUUUCU